GCAAGUCGAGGGGUAAGGCUACUUCGUUAGUACACGACCGGCGCACGGGUGCGUAACGCUUAGCAACCUACCUUUAACAGAGGGAUAGCCCCGAGAAAUCGGGAUUAAUACCUCAUAACACUUUGGUGUGGAUCACACUACAGUUAAAACUCCGGUGGGUAAAGAUGGGCAUGCGUGACAUUAGUAGUUGGUGGGGUAACGGCUCACCAAGACUACGAUGUCUAGGGGUUCUGAGAGGAUGAUC
RNAcentral lists this ribosomal RNA (244 nucleotides) under uncultured bacterium. RNAcentral describes it as "partial 16S ribosomal RNA". It matches the Rfam family "Bacterial small subunit ribosomal RNA", at positions 57 to 305 of the family's 1533-position model. The record is from RNAcentral.